ACGGGGCGCAGCAGGCGCGAAAACUGCACAAUGUGGGCAAUCACGAUGCGGGAAACCCAAGUGCCAGCGCUAUGCGUUGGCUGUCCUCCAGUGUUCGUAACUGGGGAAGAAAGUGCUGGGUAAGACGGGUGCCAGCCGCCGCGGUAAUACCCGCAGCACAAGUGGUGGUCAUUAUUAUUGGGCCUAAAGCGUCCGUAGCUGGCUUGUUAGAUGCCUGGAUAAAUCGAUGCGCUCAACGUAUCGAACUCCGGGUAGACCGGCAAGCUUGGGACCGGGAGAGGCGUGAGCUACUUGAGGGGUAGGGGUAAAAUCCUGUAAUCCUUCGGGGAGGACCAGUGGCGAAGGCGUCACGCUAGAACGGCUCCGACGGUGAGGGACGAAGCCCUGGGGCGCAAACCGGAUUAGAUACCCGGGUAGUCCAGGGUGUAAACGCUGCAGACUUGGUGUCGCUGAUCCUACGAGGGUUGGCGGUGCCGUAGAGAAGUUGUUUAGUCUGCCGCCUGGGGAGUACGGUCGCAAGACUGAAACUCAAAGGAAUUGACGGA
Molecule: ribosomal RNA, 545 nt
Filed under: uncultured soil archaeon
Lineage: Archaea
Description: bacterial SSU rRNA
Rfam family: Archaeal small subunit ribosomal RNA
Source: RNAcentral